Molecule: ribosomal RNA, 334 nt
Filed under: uncultured Acidobacteriota bacterium
Lineage: Bacteria; Pseudomonadati; Acidobacteriota
Description: bacterial SSU rRNA
Rfam family: Bacterial small subunit ribosomal RNA
Source: RNAcentral
AAUCAACGCUGGCGGCGUGCCUAACACAUGCAAGUCGAACGCGGUUAUCUCGCAAGGGAUGACUGAGUGGCGAACGGGUGAGUAACGCGUGGGUGACCUACCUUCGAGUGGGGGAUAACGUCCCGAAAGGGACGCUAAUACCGCAUAACAUCCUGCCUUUGAAUAGGCGGAGAUCAAAGCCGGGGAUCGCAAGACCUGGCGCUGGGAGAGGGGCCCGCGUCUGAUUAGCUAGUUGGUGGGUAACGGCUCACCAAGGCGACGAUCAGUAUCCGGCCUGAGAGGGCGGACGGACACACUGGGACUGAGACACGGCCCAGACUCCUACGGGUGGCUG